Haliaeetus leucocephalus (bald eagle) is the source of this 901-nucleotide RNA transcript. It is a transcript of the gene named ras homolog family member F (in filopodia), with no coding region annotated. The record is from RefSeq and is a predicted model, not a curated record. Lineage: Eukaryota; Metazoa; Chordata; Aves; Accipitriformes; Accipitridae. The transcript has 6 exons.
GCUCCAUGGAGGCGACCAACGGGGCUCUGCCCGAAGGCGCGGCGGGGGGCUCCCGCGACAACGCGGCCGCCCCGUCGGGCAAGAAGGAGGUGAAGGUUGUGAUCGUGGGGGACGGCGGCUGCGGGAAGACGUCGCUGCUGAUGGUGUACGCCAAGGGAGACUUCCCGGAGCAAUACGCGCCGUCCGUCUUCGAGAAAUAUACUACCAGCGUUACGGUGGGCAAAAAGGAGGUCACCCUGAAUUUGUACGAUACGGCAGGGCAAGAGGACUACGAUCGGCUACGACCGCUUUCAUACCAGAACACAAACGUCGUGUUAAUUUGUUACGAUGUCAUGAACCCCACUAGCUAUGAUAAUGUAGCAGCUAAGUGGUAUCCUGAAGUGAAUCACUUCUGCCGAGGUGUCCCGCUUGUACUGAUCGGCUGCAAGACAGACCUUCGGAAAGACAAAGAACAGUUGCGCAAACUCAGGGCUUCUAAGCAGGAACCCGUUACUUACAACCAGUCUUUUACAGCUGAUGGCAUCUUGAGUCACACGACGUGAUGCUUCCAAUGCCAGGCACAGAGGAGCUGAACAGUAUCUGCCAGCACUGCAGCUUGCAAACAACUGGAAGGAGACAAACUUCGCUUAAAUGUGCUGAAGAAAAAUCCCCCUAUAGAAGCCUGAGUGCUCAAGUGACCCCACUCCCAGGGCUUAUAAUGAAUAAAUGCAGAGUUUGUGAGCUGUGUGUUGCAGACCUGGAAUUCACACUCCAAGGCUCACAAGCAUUCCAAACUGGGGGCUGACUCUGCCAUGACAAGAAAAGGAUCACAAGCAAAGGUGAAGCAGCUUGUCAGCAGAUUAAUGCAGAAGUUUAUCUGGAGUGCUCAGCAAAAUGUCGUGAAAACAUAGAAAAUGUUUUU